This is a long non-coding RNA of Anopheles arabiensis, 1133 nucleotides long. RefSeq lists it as uncharacterized. The record is from RefSeq and is a predicted model, not a curated record. Lineage: Eukaryota; Metazoa; Arthropoda; Insecta; Diptera; Culicidae. The transcript has 3 exons.
UGUGUGUGUGCGGGUUGCUGCGAUGUGUUUAUUUUGAUUCUGCAUGCAAUUGCUCGCAGUGUUCGAAAGUAGCCAUGGCUUCGUGUGAUUGGCAAAUGGCCGUGAAAACCGACGAAAAUCAGCGCAUCUCGGUGUGUGGCACCAGUUUUGGCCGGCGGCCACAUUUACGCGUUACGCGAAUGGCACGAGAUCUAAGGGUCGAUGCGGAUGGCCGCGCAGAGAGAGAGAGAGAGAGCGAAACAAAAUGCGGACGAACGAAGCGAAAAGGUCAGUGUGUCAUAGCAGCAAAUUGAACACAAGUGACAUCACGUGAUGUAAGACAUCUACAGGGGCCAAACAGCGGAUAUCUUCUCUUCCUACAGGACCUGAUGGACUGCAAUUAGAUGCGAAUUGAAGACCCCUUGUCCAUCCUGGGGUGUUAUGCAAAUGAUCCCAAUGCUGGACGGGCUUAAGCGAGCUACCGAAACCAACCUCGGCCUCUGUCUUGUCCGCUCUUAAGCCUGGACAAGUUCGACACGUCUUUGGGAUGCUGAAAGGGAAAAAGCGUCCCUUGCCGCAGGUACAGGGCCGGCGUACAUCAAAGGCUUUGGGUUCCAUCAUGCCGGCAUCGUCCAUUCUAUGUGUGUUUGUGUUGCUGCUAGAUGGGACAAAUGCUUCAUACCGACGAUGAGGUCGCAUCAAACGUCUCUGCCGCGAUACAUGCGCGAUACAACAGGCCGCGAGAAACCAAACAGCACGAGAGCAGCCUGCGGGAACAAGAGUGCUAUUUUGGAAUGAACAAAUAACUUACAUUACUACGACUUUCGGCACCACGUCCCGAGACGCGAACGGAAAUGAAACGGUGCUGGUGACCGCUGCUGCUAUCCUCAACCCGCGAUAGAUAAGAAAACAAUCCGAUGAGUUUCGGGCCGUUUUUCUCGACCCGUUUCGGAACCGCCGGUACGCACGAAAAUCGGGAGGAAGUCACCGCUCACGAUCCUGUCCGAUGAUCCCUAACAUUUGAGUGGUUGAUGGUUGUUUGUAGGGCGGGCUGGUCUACGGCUUACGGCUUUGUUUUCGAACUGACACCCCAGGUGCACACGCAAAAAAAAAGCAUGCCAGUCAAAGCCUCACGCAGCCCGCACGUAUUCUUA